Molecule: small RNA, 185 nt
Filed under: Geofilum rubicundum JCM 15548
Lineage: Bacteria; Pseudomonadati; Bacteroidota; Bacteroidia; Marinilabiliales; Marinilabiliaceae
Description: Bacteroidales-1 6S-Bacteroidales RNA suggested
Rfam family: Bacteroidales-1 6S-Bacteroidales RNA suggested
Source: Rfam by way of RNAcentral
AACCGCAUCAGUUACUAGUGAUUGUUAAACUCAACACUAAUAACAUACCGAGUAAGCUAUCUUUUUUAAGGACAGGCCUCGCCCUUCGGGGAUAUCGAAAGAUACGGAGGAUCUUCGCGAUUGAGAUGCACUCAAAUUCCUGUUUUCUAGGAGUUUAAUUAGUCUCAACUGGUGCGGCUCCCAUA